Molecule: ribosomal RNA, 497 nt
Filed under: uncultured bacterium
Lineage: Bacteria
Description: partial 16S ribosomal RNA
Rfam family: Bacterial small subunit ribosomal RNA
Source: RNAcentral
GAUGAACGCUGGCGGCGUGCCUAAUACAUGCAAGUCGAGCGAACAGACGAGGAGCUUGCUCCUCUGACGUUAGCGGCGGACGGGUGUGUAACACGUGGAUAACCUACCUAUAAGACUGGGAUAACUUCGGGAAACCGGAGCUAAUACCGGAUAAUAUAUUGAACCGCAUGGUUCAAUAGUGAAAGACGGUUUUGCUGUCACUUAUAGAUGGAUCCGCGCCGCAUUAGCUAGUUGGUAAGGUAACGGCUUACCAAGGCGACGAUGCGUAGCCGACCUGAGAGGGUGAUCGGCCACACUGGAACUGAGACACGGUCCAGACUCCUACGGGAGGCAGCAGUAGGGAAUCUUCCGCAAUGGGCGAAAGCCUGACGGAGCAACGCCGCGUGAGUGAUGAAGGUCUUCGGAUCGUAAAACUCCGUUAUUAGGGAAGAACAAAUGUGUAAGUAACUAUGCACGUCUUGACGGUACCUAAUCAGAAAGCCACGGCUAACUACGUG